This 468-nucleotide ribosomal RNA is filed under the name uncultured bacterium. RNAcentral's name for it is "partial 16S ribosomal RNA". It matches the Rfam family "Bacterial small subunit ribosomal RNA", at positions 28 to 507 of the family's 1533-position model. The record is from RNAcentral.
GACGAACGCUGGCGGCGUGCUUAACACAUGCAAGUCGAACGGAAAGGCCCUGCUUUUGUGGGGUGCUCGAGUGGCGAACGGGUGAGUAACACGUGAGUAACCUGCCCUUGACUUUGGGAUAACUUCAGGAAACUGGGGCUAAUACCGGAUAGGAGCUCCUGCUGCAUGGUGGGGGUUGGAAAGUUUCGGCGGUUGGGGAUGGACUCGCGGCUUAUCAGCUUGUUGGUGGGGUAGUGGCUUACCAAGGCUUUGACGGGUAGCCGGCCUGAGAGGGUGACCGGCCACCUUGGGACUGAGGUGCGGCCGAGACUCCUACGGGGGGCAGCAGUGGGGAAUAUUGCACAAUGGGCGGAAGCCUGCUGCAGCAACGCCGCGUGCGGGAUGACGGCCUUCGGGUUGUAAACCGCUUUCGCCUGUGACGAAGCGUGAGUGACGGUAAUGGGUAAAGAAGCACCGGCUAACUACGUG